AGCAUAUCAAUAAGCGGAGGAAAAGAAACCAACAGGGAUUGCCUUAGUAGCGGCGAGUGAAGCGGCAAAAGCUCAAAUUUGAAAUCUGGCUCUUUCAGAGUCCGAGUUGUAAUUUGAAGAAGGUAUCUUUGGGUCUGGCUCUUGUCUAUGUUUCUUGGAACAGAACGUCACAGAGGGUGAGAAUCCCGUGCGAUGAGAUGAUCCAGGCCUAUGUAAAGUUCCUUCGAAGAGUCGAGUUGUUUGGGAAUGCAGCUCUAAGUGGGUGGUAAAUUCCAUCUAAAGCUAAAUAUUGGCGAGAGACCGAUAGCGAACAAGUACAGUGAUGGAAAGAUGAAAAGAACUUUGAAAAGAGAGUGAAAAAGUACGUGAAAUUGUUGAAAGGGAAGGGCUUGAGAUCAGACUUGGUAUUUUGUAUGUUACUUCUUCGGGGGUGGCCUCUACAGUUUAUCGGGCCAGCAUCAGUUUGGGCGGUAGGAGAAUUGCGUUGGAAUGUGGCACGGCUUCGGUUGUGUGUUAUAGCCUUCGUCGAUACUGCCAGCCUAGACUGAGGACUGCGGUUU
RNAcentral lists this ribosomal RNA (560 nucleotides) under Candida tropicalis. Its description in RNAcentral is "eukaryotic LSU rRNA". It matches the Rfam family "Eukaryotic large subunit ribosomal RNA", at positions 37 to 603 of the family's 3401-position model. The record is from RNAcentral. Lineage: Eukaryota; Fungi; Ascomycota; Pichiomycetes; Serinales; Debaryomycetaceae.